This is a non-coding RNA of Oryza meridionalis, 203 nucleotides long. The record is from Rfam. NCBI's taxonomy places the organism in Eukaryota, Viridiplantae, Streptophyta, Magnoliopsida, Poales, Poaceae.
AAUAAGUGUAAGUUUAUACUAUUCAUCUUCAGCAUUUGACCAUUCGUCUUAUUUAAAAAAAUAUGAUUAGUAUUUUUAUUAUUAUUAGAUUAUAAAACAUGAAUAACACUUUAUGUGUAACUAAUUUUUUAGUUUUUUUAUAUAUUUUUUAAAUAAGACGGAUGGUAAAACGUUGGAAACAGAUACCUACGACUAUACUUAUU